Non-coding RNA from Gorgonomyces haynaldii, 72 nucleotides. The record is from the annotation of a GenBank genome assembly. Lineage: Eukaryota; Fungi; Chytridiomycota; Chytridiomycetes; Rhizophydiales; Gorgonomycetaceae.
GCCUGUGUAGCGUAGUGGCAGCGCGUCGCUCUUGUAAAGCGAAGGUCGUCCGUUCAAUCCGGGCCUCAGGCA